CAGCAUCACAGAGAGGAAAUAAGUUGACACGGACCCCUCCUCCUAUUUUUCAAGGUAACUUUUCCAAUUUGUUUCAUUCCGAGUAGAAAUGUCUGGAAAAAUUCAUGUCUUCGAUGUACUUUAUAAUCUUCGGAACUCUUCGGAAUUUCACUCCCAAAAUGCUUGAAAUCGCAAUUCAGGACCCUAGAUUUCAAAAUUUUCCCGGGGGUGCAUGCCCCCGGACCCUCCUAGACGGUCUCGAACCUUCGGCGUGAGAUUCUCCCCCCCCCCAAAAAAAAAAUUAAGGUCUGGCUACGCCACUGGUUAUAGCUGUACGAUUAUAGCUACAAAGAGUUGACGUUAUUGUUUAUAUAGGUGAUUAAGUUAAUAAAUUAAAGUUUUACAAAAUCUCUCUUCAGACUCGCGCGUUCGCCAAACCUCGACGGCUCAUAUUUUUC
This is a non-coding RNA of Paramuricea clavata, 437 nucleotides long. The record is from the annotation of a GenBank genome assembly. Lineage: Eukaryota; Metazoa; Cnidaria; Anthozoa; Malacalcyonacea; Plexauridae.